Molecule: non-coding RNA, 261 nt
Filed under: Desulforamulus ruminis
Lineage: Bacteria; Bacillati; Bacillota; Clostridia; Eubacteriales; Peptococcaceae
Description: Desulfotomaculum ruminis T-box sequence
Rfam family: T-box leader
About the family: Uncharged tRNA acts as the effector for transcription antitermination of genes in the T-box leader family. T-boxes are found upstream of many aminoacyl-tRNA synthetase genes and some amino acid biosynthetic genes usually in Gram-positive bacteria.
Source: RNAcentral
UUAACAAUGUUGAUAGGGACGGUAGUCUGAAACAGGGCUUCAGAGAGCCGGAUAAGGUGCAAGCCGGCGCCAAUUGGCAGACUAGUCUCACCCUGGAGUUGCCCCCGUGAAAGUGGUUUUCCAUUAGUAAUUGGGACCGGGUUGUGGAACCCGUUAUCAAAACCAGCGCCAUGUUUUUUUAGUUGGCGUACUGAGUUGGCUUCAUGAUCUUUUGAAGCAAUCAGGGUGGUACCGCGGAAGGAUAAACCUCUCGCCCCUGGC